This is a long non-coding RNA of Dunckerocampus dactyliophorus (ringed pipefish), 409 nucleotides long. RefSeq lists it as uncharacterized. Lineage: Eukaryota; Metazoa; Chordata; Actinopteri; Syngnathiformes; Syngnathidae. The record is from RefSeq and is a predicted model, not a curated record. The transcript is spliced from 3 exons.
GCAAAACAUAACAUCUUUCAUUGACGGGAGAGCUGAGUUGUGAAGGAGUGCUUCUGCUGCAGAGGUCUUACUCAAAGAAGCUAGUCUGUUCGAUUCACCGUACGGCCAAAUGAGGUUGGGACCUUCGCUGUGACAAAAAAGUGCAAAAAAGUGCGGAGAGAGGAUCAAAGGUGUCUGUCGCCAAGAACGUGGGUGGGUAUGAUGGUCCAGAAGAAGUCUGCUGCAGUUGCAAUGCACAUUUCUCCACACUACUGAAGAACCUGAUGGACUCCAUAAUGUGGCGGGCGCCAAAACAAAGCCAGGAAGAGGAACAACGAGGAUGGUGAUGAACAUCUUCACACCAGCUUUGCCAUGCCAUUCUUGAAAGGUAAAACAUGAGCCCAUGACACAGGACUCUUUUCAAGGCUCC